GACGAACGCUGGCGGCGUGCCUAAUACAUGCAAGUAGAACGCUGAAGGAGGGAGCUUGCUUCUUCUGGAUGAGUUGCGAACGGGUGAGUAACGCGUAGGUAACCUGCCUGAUAGCGGGGGAUAACUAUUGGAAACGAUAGCUAAUACCGCAUAAGAGGUAAUAACACAUGUUAUUAGUUUAAAAGGGGCAAUUGCUCCACUAUCAGAUGGACCUGCGUUGUAUUAGCUAGUUGGUAAGGUAACGGCUUACCAAGGCGACGAUACAUAGCCGACCUGAGAGGGUGAUCGGCCACACUGGGACUGAGACACGGCCCAGACUCCUACGGGAGGCAGCAGUAGGGAAUCUUCGGCAAUGGGGGCAACCCUGACCGAGCAACGCCGCGUGAGUGAAGAAGGUUUUCGGAUCGUAAAGCUCUGUUGUAAGAGAAGAACGGAUGUGGGAGUGGAAAAUCCAUGUCGUGACGGUAUCUUACCAGAAAGGGACGGCUAACUACGUGCCAGCAGCCGCGGUAAUACGUAGGUCCCGAGCGUUGUCCGGAUUUAUUGGGCGUAAAGCGAGCGCAGGCGGUUUCAUAAGUCUGAAGUUAAAGGCAGUGGCUUAACCAUUGUACGCUUUGGAAACUGU
This 625-nucleotide ribosomal RNA is filed under the name uncultured Streptococcus sp. RNAcentral describes it as "bacterial SSU rRNA". It matches the Rfam family "Bacterial small subunit ribosomal RNA", at positions 28 to 636 of the family's 1533-position model. Lineage: Bacteria; Bacillati; Bacillota; Bacilli; Lactobacillales; Streptococcaceae. The record is from RNAcentral.